UCGAAAUACAAAAAGGGCUGUUGCUGGCUUGCUUUUUUCUUGCAUGUGCACGCCUUGUCUUAUUUCUCCUCUGUGCACCAACUGUAGGUCUGGAUCAAGCUUGUGUCUUUUUCAGGUCUAUGUUUUACAAAUCUCUCCAAUGUGUUUGGAAUGAUAUGAAUAAACAAUUCAAAAUA
RNAcentral lists this unclassified non-coding RNA (176 nucleotides) under uncultured Inocybe. Its description in RNAcentral is "sequence contains ITS1". Lineage: Eukaryota; Fungi; Basidiomycota; Agaricomycetes; Agaricales; Cortinariaceae. The record is from RNAcentral.